CUCGGGGCGCAGCCUGUGGCCCGGGUCCAGUCGGGCCCCGCCGACCCCGCCCGCCUGGCCCGCCCUCCCCUGCCGGCCGCCGCUAACACCCGGAGGAGCGGACUCCCGGCGCGCGGAGAGCCAGGCCGGCGCGGGCAGCGGACUGGGCAUGCUCGGCAGCCCGGAGGCUCGCGGUGGCAAGUCGGAAGCGUUCGCACCAGCGAGGCAGCGGCCGGGCGGCGGCGGCGGCCGCGGGCAGGACGGAGCGGGCAGGGCGGCCAGGAGAGGCAGCCGUCCCUCCGCGCACGGCGAGCCGGCGGGAGAGCGCGAUCCCGCUGCGGAGCCCCGACGCUGCCCUGCCCCGGAUUUCAGUGCGCGGCGUGGGGCUCGGCGAGCGGAAUUCCGGCGGCGGCCGCGACUCCGGUGCAAGGUGAGGGAGCAUGAACGGCCUUGA
RNAcentral lists this long non-coding RNA (433 nucleotides) under Zalophus californianus (California sea lion). RNAcentral's name for it is "lncRNA (ENSZCAG00015023858.1)". Lineage: Eukaryota; Metazoa; Chordata; Mammalia; Carnivora; Otariidae. The record is from RNAcentral.